UGCUAUAAAUUUUGAAAAUUUUGAAAGAUUUUGUCAAAAACUAUGGGAGAUACAAUAAUUUUUUGCAUAUUAAUUAGGCUUAAUUUUGAUUGAUUGCUGGCAUGUGAUUAUAGGUGGAAAUUGAAAUGUUAGCACUCAAGAAGUUAUAAUAAUUUUGCCUAGUAUCAAAAUUUAAGUUUUUAUAAUUUUUUAAAGGAAUUCUUCAUUUUUGUUGUUAUAAUAUAGAUAGUCCUGAACUUAUGAUGGGUUCCAAGAAUUUCAAACCUUGCCGUCAUAAGCCAGAAAUGUCCAAAAGUUAUGGAUUGCCUAAUGCAAAUAUUUAUUAUUACACUGUACUUUGUCAUAAUAAACUUAAUGAAUGCAAAAAUACAAAACCAGACACAAAAAGAUGUUUUCUGUAUAUCAGAUCAUUGGGUUAGGGAAUCAGGCUUAGGUCAAUUGCAUUUACUAAUAAAAGAAUAUAUCAAUGAUGUUGCUAUCAUAAGUAUGAAGUGGUCAUAAAUUGAGGAAUAUCUAUAUAGAGUAACCACUGAUAUCUGCUUUUUUGAUAAUUAC
RNAcentral lists this long non-coding RNA (555 nucleotides) under Androctonus crassicauda. Lineage: Eukaryota; Metazoa; Arthropoda; Arachnida; Scorpiones; Buthidae. The record is from RNAcentral.